UAAUACAUGCAGUCGAGCGGAUUGAUGAGGAGCUUGCUUCCUCUGAGGACUUAGCGGCGGACGGGUGAGUAACACGUAGGCAACCUGCCCUCAAGACUGGGAUAACUACCGGAAACGGUAGCUAAUACCGGAUAAUUAAAUUUGCUGCAUGGCGGAGUUAUGAAAGGCGGAGCAAUCUGUCACUUGAGGAUGGGCCUGCGGCGCAUUAGCUAGUUGGUGAGGUAACGGCUCACCAAGGCGACGAUGCGUAGCCGACCUGAGAGGGUGAACGGCCACACUGGGACUGAGACACGGCCCAGACUCCUACGGGAGGCAGCAGUAGGGAAUCUUCCGCAAUGGGCGAAAGCCUGACGGAGCAACGCCGCGUGAGUGAUGAAGGUUUUCGGAUCGUAAAGCUCUGUUGCCAGGGAAGAACGUCUCAUAGAGUAACUGCUAUGAGAGUGACGGUACCUGAGAAGAAAGCCCCGGCUAACUACGUGCCAGCAG
This 486-nucleotide ribosomal RNA is filed under the name Paenibacillus lactis. Its description in RNAcentral is "bacterial SSU rRNA". It matches the Rfam family "Bacterial small subunit ribosomal RNA", at positions 49 to 514 of the family's 1533-position model. Lineage: Bacteria; Bacillati; Bacillota; Bacilli; Caryophanales; Paenibacillaceae. The record is from RNAcentral.